Molecule: ribosomal RNA, 2262 nt
Filed under: human gut metagenome
Description: bacterial LSU rRNA
Rfam family: Bacterial large subunit ribosomal RNA
Source: RNAcentral
AGGGCGUACGGUGAAUGCCUUGGUGCCAACAGGCGAAGAAGGACGCGGCAAGCUGCGAAAAGCCUCGGGAAGCUGCAAGCAAGCGAUGAUCCGGGGAUAUCCGAAUGGGGUAACCUGAUCGAGGCAAUACUCGAUCGUUCAUACCUGAAUACAUAGGGUAUGAAACGCGAAACCCGCUGAAGUGAAACAUCUCAGUAAGCGGAGGAAAAGAAAGAGAAAUCGAUUCCGUAAGUAGUGGCGAGCGAAAGCGGAUGGAGCCCAAACCGAAGGUAUUCCUUCGGGGUUGUAGGACCACGUCAUAUUCGACCAUACUGGAUAGUAGAACAGCCUGGAAAGGCUGGCCGGAGAAGGUGAAAGCCCUGUAGACGAAAUCCAGAGUGGGAAUUAGUGGUAUCCUGAGUAAUACAUCACACGUGGAACGAUGUAUGAACCCGCGCGGACCACCGCGCAAGGCUAAAUACUAGUUGGCGACCGAUAGUGAACAAGUACCGCGAGGGAAAGGUGAAAAGAACCGCUGUGAGCGGAGUGAAAUAGAACCUGAAACCGUAUGUCUACAAAGUGUCAGAGCAGAGCAAUCUGCGAUGGCGUGCCUUUUGUUUAAUGAGUCUGCGAGUCAGUGUUUGUGGCAAGACUAAGGGCUUCCGGCCCGGAGUCGCAGCGAAAGCAAGUCCGAACAGGGCGCAAUAAGUCGCAGGUACUGGACCCGAAGCGGAGGUGACCUACCCUUGGCCAGGUUGAAGCAUGGGUAAAACCAUGUGGAGGACCGAACAGGUGAACGUUGAAAAGUUCUCUGAUGAGCUGAGGGUAGGAGUGAAAGGCUAAUCAAACCCCGUGAUAGCUGGUUCUCUUCGAAAUGCAUUUAGGUGCAGCGUCACGUGCUGAUGCGCGGGGGUAGAGCACUGACAAGGCUAGGGGGCACACCCGCUUACCAAACCUUAUCAAACUCCGAAUACCGUGCAAUGGAACGUGGCAGUGAGACAGUGGGGGAUAAGCUUCAUUGUCGAGAGGGAAACAACCCAGACCAGCAGCUAAGGUGCCUAAAUAACGCUCAGUGGAAAGGAUGUGGGAUUACACAGACAGUGAGGAUGUUGGCUUAGAAGCAGCCACCAUUUAAAAAAUGCGUAAUAGCUUACUCAUCGAGUGAUCCUGCGCCGAAAAUGAUUGGCGAUCAAGCGUUAUACCGAAGCUCUGGACUUUGCCGCAAGGCAGAGUGGUAGAAGAGCGUUGCAUGCGCGUCGAAGGGCGAUGGCGACUGACCCUGGAGCACAUGCAAGUGAGUAUGCAGACAUGAGUAACGUUAAGCCGGGUGAAAUCCCCGGCCGCCGUAAACCCGAGGUUUCCAGGGCAACGUGUUUCGUCCCUGGGUUAGCCGGGACCUAAGCCGAGGCCGAGAGGCGUAGGCGAUGGACAUCAGGUUAAUAAUCCUGAGCUCGCAACCCUUAAACUGGGGGGACGCAUGAGAAAAGAUGACUAGGUUAUUGAAUUCCGAGUUGAGUCUACGGACUCAGCGCAUCAUUGGAUCGAGUGCCAAGAAAAGCCCCAGCGUAUGCUAAGCGACCCGUACCGCAAACCGACACAGGUGGGUGGGUAGAAUAUACCAAGGCGUAAGAGUGAAACCUGGUUAAGGAACUCGGCAAAUUAGCCCCGUAACUUCGGAAGAAGGGGUGCCUGCAGCGAUGCAGGCCGCAGAGAAAUGGCCCAACCGACUGUUUAUCAAAAACACAGCACUCUGCAAAGACGCAAGUCGAAGUAUAGGGUGUGACACGUGACCAAUGCCGAAAGAUUAAGGCAAGGGGUUAGCCGCAAGGCGAAGCUCUAAACCCAAGUCCCGGUGAAUGUCGGCCGUAACUAUAACGGUCCUAAGGUAGCGAAAUUCCUUGUCGGGUAAGUUCCGACCUGCACGAAUCGUGAAACGAGUUGGGCACUGUCUCAACCAGGCGCUCAGUGAAAUUGUAGUGGCGGUGAAGAUGCCGCCUACCCGCAGAAGGACGGAAAGACCCUAUAGACCUUAACUGUAAGCUGUCAUUGUUUCUUCGGUUUUAAUGCUCAGAGUAAGUGGGAGACGCUGAAGACGCCCUUUAGGGGGCGUCCGAGUCAUCAAUGAGACACCACCCUUUGAAACUGGAGGAUCUAACCCUGAGCCGUGAAUCCGGCCAGAGGACCGUGUCAGCCGGUCAGUUUUACUGGGGCGGUAUCCUCCCAAAGAGUAACGGAGGAGCGCGAAGGUGGGCUCAGCCCGGUUGGCAACCGGGUGUCGAGUGC